Molecule: unclassified non-coding RNA, 906 nt
Filed under: Hevea brasiliensis (rubber tree)
Lineage: Eukaryota; Viridiplantae; Streptophyta; Magnoliopsida; Malpighiales; Euphorbiaceae
Source: RNAcentral
AAAAAGCUUCAAUUUUUGCUUCUUCUUUUGAUUGUUUGUUCUUUAAUCCUACCAUGGAAGCCACUGCUUCUUUCACUUCAACUAUGGCUUCUCACCAUUUCUUUCCACUUUCUAAAGCCACCCUUUCAUCUUCUAAACUUAAUCCCACUUGUAAUUCUUCUUCUUCUUGGAUUGGUUCUACUCAUUCUCUUUCAUUUUCUUCAAGAAAUUCAUUUACUAGGGAUACAUGGAGGGUGAUCAAUUCCAAGAAUGUGGUAAGAAGGGAAAUGAGUGGAGUUAUUAGAGCUGAGAUGUUUGGACAGCUCACUAGCGGACUUGAAAAUGCUUGGAACAAGCUCAAAGGAGAAGAGGUUUUGACCAAGGAAAACAUCGUGGAACCUAUGAGGGACAUCAGGAGGGCUCUUUUAGAAGCUGAUGUCAGUCUCCCAGUUGUCAGAAGGUUUGUUCAGUCUGUUAGUGAAGAAGCCGUUGGCACUGGUUUGAUUCGAGGUGUAAAACCAGAUCAGCAACUAGUUAAAACUGUACGUGACGAGCUUGUGAAACUGAUGGGUGGAGAGGUUUCUGAACUGGUUUUUGCUAAAUCUAAGCCCACCGUAAUACUAUUGGCCGGUCUACAAGGUGUUGGGAAGACAACUGUUAGUGCAAAGUUAGCUUUAUAUCUAAAGAAGCAGGGUAAGAGUUGCAUGCUGAUUGCUGGAGACGUGUACAGACCUGCUGCUAUUGACCAACUUGUUAUUUUGGGUAAACAGGUUGAUGUACCUGUUUAUGCAGCAGGAACAGAUGUAAAACCUGCAGAAAUAGCCCGACAAGGAUUACAAGAGGCCAAAAAGAAGAAUGUAGAUGUAGUCAUAAUGGAUACAGCUGGAAGACUUCAGAUAGAUAAAACUAUGAUGGAUGAAUUAAAAG